CGGAGGGUGCAAGCGUUAUCCGGAUUCACGUGGGUUUAAAGGGUGCGUAGGUGGGUUAGUAAGUCUGUGGUGAAAUCCCCGAGCUUAACUUGGGAACUGCCAUGGAUACUAUUAAUCUUGAAUGUCGUGGAGAUGAGCGGAAUAUGUCAUGUAGCGGUGAAAUGCUUAGAUAUGACAUAGAACACCAAUUGCGAAGGCAGCUCGUUACACGAAUAUUGACACUGAUGCACGAAAGCGUGGGGAUCAAACAGGAUUAGAUACCCUGGUAGUCCACGCCCUAAACGAUGGAUACUCGACAUACGCGAUAAACUGUGUGUGUCUGAGCGAAAGCAUUAAGUAUCCCACCUGGGAAGUACGAUCGCAAGAUUG
This 369-nucleotide ribosomal RNA is filed under the name uncultured organism. Its description in RNAcentral is "bacterial SSU rRNA". It matches the Rfam family "Bacterial small subunit ribosomal RNA", at positions 526 to 896 of the family's 1533-position model. The record is from RNAcentral.